This 836-nucleotide ribosomal RNA is filed under the name uncultured soil bacterium. RNAcentral describes it as "bacterial SSU rRNA". It matches the Rfam family "Bacterial small subunit ribosomal RNA", at positions 26 to 898 of the family's 1533-position model. The record is from RNAcentral.
AGAACGAACGCUGGCGGCAUGCCUAACACAUGCAAGUCGAACGUGAUCCAGGCUUCGGUCUGGUGAAAGUGGCAGACGGGUGAGUAACGCGUGGGAACCUGCCCUGUGGUAGGGAAUAACCGCGGGAAACUGCGGCUAAUACCCUAUGUGUCCUGAGGGACAAAGAUUUAUCGCCAUAGGAGGGGCCCGCGUCGGAUUAGGUAGUUGGUGGGGUAACGGCCUACCAAGCCAUCGAUCCGUAGCUGGUCUGAGAGGAUGAUCAGCCACACUGGGACUGAGAUACGGCCCAGACUCCUACGGGAGGCAGCAGUGGGGAAUAUUGGACAAUGGGGGCAACCCUGAUCCAGCAAUGCCGCGUGGAUGAUGAAGGCCUUCGGGCUGUAAAGCCCUUUCGGCGGGGACGAUGAUGACGGUACCCGCAGAAGAAGCUCCGGCUAACUUCGUGCCAGCAGCCGCGGUAAUACGAAGGGGGCUAGCGUUGCUCGGAAUGACUGGGCGUAAAGGGCGCGUAGGCGGUUUAGUGAGUUGGGCGUGAAAUUCCUGGGCUUAACCUGGGGGCUGCGUUCAAUACCACUAGGCUUGAGUGUGGAAGAGGGUCGUGGAAUUCCCAGUGUAGAGGUGAAAUUCGUAGAUAUUGGGAAGAACACCGGUGGCGAAGGCGGCGACCUGGUCCAUUACUGACGCUGAGGCGCGAAAGCGUGGGGAGCAAACAGGAUUAGAUACCCUGGUAGUCCACGCCGUAAACGAUGUGUGCUGGAUGUUGGGUAACCUAGUUACUCAGUGUCGUAGCUAACGCGGUAAGCACACCGCCUGGGGAGUACGGCCGCAAGGUUGAA